Daphnia magna is the source of this 2178-nucleotide long non-coding RNA. RefSeq lists it as uncharacterized. The transcript has 4 exons. NCBI's taxonomy places the organism in Eukaryota, Metazoa, Arthropoda, Branchiopoda, Diplostraca, Daphniidae. The record is from RefSeq and is a predicted model, not a curated record.
AGGUCAUAAAGGGUCCCCAUCAAACCCAAUAAUUAUGGUCAACGUUCGUUCCUGUUCGCUUGUCCCGCCUUCCAUUCCACUACAAAGUGCAAACUGUGGUAAUAAAAACAGAAUAGGGCGAACGAGUGAAAGGAAUGACUACGAUAAAUCCGUUUCUGCUUCGUUCGUGACUGGACCCCAUUAAAAUCAAGCAACCGGCUGAGCUCCUUUAUAAGCGUAAACACACUUCAUUGCGCAGCCGGUAAUGCAUUUACAACCUCGGUGAGCUCCAUCGCAGCACCUCGUUAAAAAUUAACGAGCUCAUUGCAUGACACUAGCGUCUUCUAAAAUAACUUUGUCCUAUAAAAAGGUAUUUUCAAUCUUGUUAUGAUUUUUUAAUCAGUUUUUUUUUUUCAGUUUGGUUGAUGUGCCUAGAUCAAAAGCAAUGGGCAUUUUUAUUGGUAAGAUGGAUGCAUGGUACUCCCGUAUCGGGAAUGGAAAAAGGUAUACGUAUUGGUGAUUCCACUUAAAAAAUUCAAACUUUUUAUUGUUACCCUCAAUCCAAAUUAUCUGCCGACCUGCUAGAAAGUGAAAUGCACAAGAGCAUCGGAUGCUGUCAUCCCAAAAUACGAAUGGACUAAGUGACAAGACAGUCGCAAGUCGGUCGCAUAUGCAAAGUGAUUCAAUUUCGCCACCACUUUUUAUCCGGUCACCAUCGUAGCUGAAAGUGCGACAGAUGUUAAGCAAAGUUUGACGAGGUGACGUGAAGAAAAGUUUGAAAAGCAAAGGCGUUAGCAACUAGUAGAAAACAGAAUAAAAGAACUAUGGAAAAAGGUCUCAUCACGAAGUUUGCAGUUUUCGUCGUUCCAUUUGUUUCUUCUUUGUGGAGUCUUUUAAUUCGAGUCCGUUUGAGCAAUGCCACCAGGAUGCAAGAAGACAAACCACUUGACAAGACGUUGCAUCUUGUGCUGGUGGGACUAGCUACUUAAAUCUAUGCACAAUUUGGGGAGCUUCAGUAUCCCAGCGACAACUGGACAGUGGACUGCCGUUGUACAGAACAUCAUCCAUAGCCGCAUCAGCCUGUUGUAGUUUUUGUUGUCAUAAACGUGAGCAAGCCCAUCACGAUAAUGAAGAGAGAGGGAGAGAGUGUCCAGGACGGAGGCGGAAUAUAACCUUGGAUGUACAGAGGAAAGGACAGACGGACAUCAGCUGGUCUAAUGCCAAACUUUGGAUAGCCCUAUACAUGACAAAACCAAGACUGCAAGUCUACAAGCUGUGAUCCAUCAUUGCACUGGAUGAGAAGAUUCAAAUGGAAGUAAGAGAGGGAGCUCGAGAAAAUACGAUGAAAAUCGGACAGAACAGAACGACCGGAGGGCAGCUGAAGUCAUUCAACAACAGUCAGAAAGGGAAACAGAACCACUUUUACUACUCUUCGACGGGCAAGACAAGCAAGACAAGCAAGGCCGAAGGGUAAACGACGAACGAGCGGCUGUCAUGACAACGGUGUCGAUGUCGUGCAAUGAUAAGGGUGGGCGUUGGGGAGACGUGAUCGCUGUUGGCUACAGCCCGUGGAAAUAAUAGACAACACACUACAUAUGCUAUAAUUCUUCUAACAAACAAACAACGCCACUUUACUUGAUGAAAUGAGUCAGCGCUCAUUCGCCGCCCUCUGGUGGAUAACAUGCGUCAACCACCAGAAUAUUGUCGAUUUCGGCCUUUGGAAUAUUUUUGGUGGUUUUAUUGACUCUCUCCUCACCAUAAAUGGUAGAACACGCCCUAAACUAUGGAACUUUAUUUUUGUGCUGGCUACAUGCAAGGUGAUUUCGUUUUCUUGUUUUGUUCCUUGAUUGCGGUCGGUAAAUCAGACAAAAUGUGCUACAAUAGUCACAGUUUUUACAUCAAAUUUUAGAUGGGUUAGUGAGAUUGAUCGUCGAGGUUCAGUCAUGGCACUAAUGUGUAGAGGGAAUUUGCAAUACCUUUCCCGUAGAUGAUGAUCCAUCAUGGCCGACAUUUGCACUCCCUUCCUCUUAUAUCGUAUAUUGUUUUCUACCUACUAUUUGUGAAAUUAGGCUAUCGUCAGAAAGAAAAAUUCGAUUUGAUGAAACAGUCAAUAGUUUGAGUAACAAAAUUUGCAUUAUUUUCUUGCCUAUAGCUUUAGGUUGACGUAAAAAAGAAAAAAAAAAGGCAAACACUUCUGUG